Molecule: ribosomal RNA, 253 nt
Filed under: uncultured bacterium
Lineage: Bacteria
Description: partial 16S ribosomal RNA
Rfam family: Bacterial small subunit ribosomal RNA
Source: RNAcentral
UACGGAGGGUGCAAACGUUGCUCGGAAUUAUUGGGCGUAAAGCGCACGUAGGCGGCACUGUAAGUUGAAUGUGAAAACCCCGGGCUCAACCUGGGAAGUGCAUCCAAGACUGCAAUGCUUGAGUUCCGGAGGGGGUUGGAGAAUUCCCGGUGUAGAGGUGAAAUUCGUAGAUAUCGGGAGGAACAUCAGUGGCGAAGGCGCCAACCUGGACGGUAACUGACGCUGAGGUGCGAAAGCAUGGGGAGCAAACAGG